Long non-coding RNA from Eriocheir sinensis (Chinese mitten crab), 1194 nucleotides. RefSeq lists it as uncharacterized. Lineage: Eukaryota; Metazoa; Arthropoda; Malacostraca; Decapoda; Varunidae. The record is from RefSeq and is a predicted model, not a curated record. The transcript has 3 exons.
CAGAAGUUCAGUUCACUGCUGGGUAACAGAGCUUCCAGUCUUCGGUUUGUGCGGAUAUCUAGUGUGUCUUCUGCUGAUUAGGAAGAGCAUAUCUCUCAAAAUGCAGCGGCAGAGGAGUGUGGCGGCUGUCUUGGCUGUUGCUUGUGUGGUCUUCAGUGUAUGUCCUUCGGCCAGUGGAACGCUUGAUUGGUUCCCUUCCGCGGUGUCUUGGGACUGGUUUGGUUCGGAGGACCUACCUAACAUGACCUUUCCUGAGGUGUGUGGCGUCAGGGUGCCUGGGGUCGAGGCUAGCAACAUGACUCUCCAGGACAUGAAGGAUUAUCCAAAAGCUCCCGAGCUGCCGGUGGGGAUGCCUUUCCCUAGAUGGGACCUCACCACUACUGAUGGAUCCUUCGAACCAGAAUUUCCCUGGCCGUGGGUUGUCCGGAUUGCCGACGAUACUGCCGGGGUUCUUAUUUCCGAGCGGCAUGUUGUCACCUUGGAACAUUGCCUGAGCAACUACACGAGAUGGUUCGGCGGAUUCUACAGCUUCGGUGUUGGCAUCUUGGAUCAGGAUGUCGAGGUGGCCCGAGUUGACGUUCAAAGUUUGUAUGAUAAUCCUCUGCCACUCGCAUUGCUGACCUUGGCGAGCCACAACUUCACGCGUGUCUCCUCUCCCGUGUGUGUCGGUCCCUAUCGUCAUGAACUCAUCGCGGCGGCAGUCGGCUGGGAUAAGACUGGUGAUCUUAAAGAAAAGCCAGUUAGUAUAUAUCGUAAGGGUCAAUGUGCAAGUUACCAUCGUGAAGCUUUCAAAGAUGACCUAAUGCUGUGUGGCUCUGUUGGGGCUCGCCUCUGCGGCGGUCCCCUGAUGCAAGUUUCCCAGGGUCGCUGGAUGUUGGUUGCUCUGGGCUCGGGAGAACCUGCCCCGAUUGCAAGGUACGUCCGCCUCGCCCCAGCCCAGAAGUGGCUUGAAAGUCUGAAUUAACUUCGGACUGCUGCCGAUAUCUCCUCCAGCCAAAUUGGACGACGGAGGUCUUUGGAUAUCCGUGGAACUACGCUUGUCCAGCCUUGGCCAGAGUUUUAGUCUCCGAAUGGAGUGUUUUUAGCUGUUUUAACUGGGUAGAGGUUUACUGUUUCAGGGUGAGUUUUUAGCUGAACUUUGUCACGCAAAUUACUUGCUAUGCAAUAUUAAAGCAUUAAAAUUUUUGAACAUAU